UCGGGGGCAUUCGUAUUUCAUAGU
Molecule: non-coding RNA, 24 nt
Filed under: Arabidopsis thaliana (thale cress)
Lineage: Eukaryota; Viridiplantae; Streptophyta; Magnoliopsida; Brassicales; Brassicaceae
Source: RNAcentral